UGAUUAACACUGAAUAUUUAUGAAUGUAACUUCCGGAAAUGAGAAGUUGAUUUGAUACAAAAUGACAACUUAUACCCGUUUUAAUAUAAUUUAAAAGGUUAUAACAAAUUAUACUAGAAGUUUAAUCAACCCAAAUGAUAAUAAAAACUCCAUCUACAAUAACAUGAUUAAAAACAAUAACCAAGAUAAAACAAGUGCAAUAAUUAAUUUUAUUCUUCAUUUGUUGCCUAUUGCACGCAUGUUCUCUAUCUCUUGCUCCAUUCCUUUAAUCUUUCAAAGCAAUCCGGAGAUUAUUUGUCUUGAUCUAUAACACAUUGGAGGAUCGUACCAACCAAAAAACUGACAAACAUUGCUCUGUAAACAAAGAAGUUUUCAAUUUUAUGAGCAAGUAAAUAAAAUGGUAGAGAUAAGAGACAAAAUUGAAACCCUAACACACUUACUUUUCCAUAAUUUGUACAUGAUAAAAACCUUCUUCCUGGGUUUGUAUCGGUCCAUGCUGUUUUAAGUUUAGCUCGCCUCUCACAAUCACAUAGUGCGUUCAUGGCUGGAAAUACAUAACAGGAAAUCAUCCUUGUAAAUUAAGAGGUCAGGAACAGAUACUCAAGAACUUGCAAAUAUAAAACAGGAAAACACAAUGGAAAUAGAUUGUUCUAUGAGAGAAGACAACUCAAAAGGCAAUUAAUAUUUAAGGAAUAUCAGAGACGUUAGCAGAAACUACUGGAACGCUUGUGAUCCAAAAAUUUAUGGGAAUGUAUGUGACAGGUAACAGGAAGUAAAAAUGGUUGUUGCCUUCUAUCUGAUCCCAUAAUAUCCAAUUAAUUCUAAACAAGAAACCAUUUAAUUUCCUACAACUCAACAAAAGAUUACAUUUGUUUGAGUAGUAUAUUGCUUCAAAGCUACAACAAAAAGAAAAUAAAUUAAUUGAAGAAAUCUCAUUUAAAACACUCAAAAGGCCUUACACAAAUUCUAAUCAUUUUAGAGUACAAAAAUCCUACAAUCUUCUAAUUCAAUAACAUCUCAACAAAUAAUCCAUUUACCAUGUCAAUACAUAUCAAACUCCCAGUAACAAGAAAUAACAUUUAACUCCCAGUAAAGGUCAUUGAAGCUUUAACCUUACAACAACAAUUCAAAAUCAGAAAUAGAUUAUACUCCUCAUAUAAACCUUACCAACCAAAUAUGAAACAAAGGUAUCAUUUUUUUUGUCUCAAAAAAUGUAAAAUAAAUUUUAAUAAUACUAUUGUCUUCAGUUCUGGUUUGGCAACUACAGGUCGCAAUAAUAUUGAAGGUAUUGGUGUUAUCUGGUCCUCAAGUCUCCUUUUCGUUGUUAGAUGUUUCGUUGAUUUCUGUUUUUAGUUUUUGAUCAACUUGUCAAGAUUAUAUGGUUGAAAAGCUUGGUAUAGAUAAGAACACAAUGUCCAAAUUGGGUAAUCUAUUAUACAAGAAUUAUGGGACAACAUAACCAGUUAUAAGGUUUUCCCCUCAAAAAUUAUUAGUCCUAAAAAACAAUUAUUGAAAAUCAAAACACAAAAUGUAAAAAAUUAAGCCUAAUUCAACACUAACAACAAGAAAAUCCAUCUACCCACAUUACCUUGCAGUGAAUCGACGGAUUGAAAGAUGACUUUGUGUGAAUCGACGAGAUGGGCGGAGUAUGCUUGUUGAUUUUGCGAGGAGAUGGCUGAGUUGGUCGAUAUUGCGUCGAUUUUGCGAGGAGGUGGACGAGAUGAAUCAAAGAGAGAUAUGUCUUCUCCGUACUAUGAAUCGAAGAGAGAGAGAGAGAUGGCUGAGUCGAAGAGAGAGAUGGAUGCGUCAGUUUUUUGUUUUUAGCUGAGUCCAAAGUGAGGAAAGAGAAGAAAUAAGGGAUGGUUUAAAUAGGUGAGUUGGGUAAACUA
RNAcentral lists this long non-coding RNA (1889 nucleotides) under Panax ginseng (ginseng). Its description in RNAcentral is "long non-coding RNA (PGIN_LNC009291)". The record is from RNAcentral. Lineage: Eukaryota; Viridiplantae; Streptophyta; Magnoliopsida; Apiales; Araliaceae.